GUGAUAAUCAUAUCCUUAUCUACUGUCUGUCCCCAGGUUGCCCAUCCCACACAGGACCAAUACGGACAAUAAUUAUAGUCUUUAUUUAGGCAGUUUGGAUCUAUAUACUUAUGCUUAUUACUAGGACAAAUAUACUUAUCAUUAGACCCAUACGUUCUUUCCCAUUUAAUACCACCACAUACAUUCCAUGGCUUCCUACUACCUGAUAUCGCCUUACAUGCAUCAAAUAGCAAAACACCUGGAGAAUGUACGCUUUCUAGUACAGUCUUAUUUAUCAGGUUCCCCUGUGCGUUCUCAUUCCAAAUAGUCAACCAAAUUGUACGGGGCUGAUACUCAGGAUUAAAACACCUAGGUUCUCCUGCUCCUAUAUGGCAUACACUAUAAUCUGUACCUAGGUAUCUACACUUUGAUACAUGUCCUGUGCACUCAUAUUGCGAAUGCCAAAUAAGGGUCUGGGAAAUACGAUUGCCUGUUUUCGUAGUCUUAAUGCAAACCUCGCAGCCUGGUGUGUCGGUAC
RNAcentral lists this long non-coding RNA (517 nucleotides) under Pelobates cultripes (western spadefoot toad). Lineage: Eukaryota; Metazoa; Chordata; Amphibia; Anura; Pelobatidae. The record is from RNAcentral.